RNAcentral lists this long non-coding RNA (1013 nucleotides) under Gallus gallus (chicken). Its description in RNAcentral is "lncRNA (ENSGALG00010017103.1)". The record is from RNAcentral. Lineage: Eukaryota; Metazoa; Chordata; Aves; Galliformes; Phasianidae.
GCUGUGAGUUGCAUCUGCCUGUAUUUAGGCCACUUUGGCUGUACUGCUGAAGGUAAUACAUUCUCUUUUGCAGUGGCCCUUUAUCUGUCCUUGCUGAACGUGCUCAUGCAUGUGGUGCCCUUUGAGGAGAAAAUCCCAUCUCGAGCUCUGUGCUCCUGCCACUCAUAUCAGUGCUGAAGUCUUUUUGUUUAGGUGACCGAUAGGAGAUCAUGAAGCCAUGGCUCACACGUGUAUUUUGUAGCAGUGUGCAGCUAACCAUGCUUCCCCCAGGCACUUAAGAUGAAGAGCUGCUCUUUUCUUUGGCUAUUUUGCACAUUCUCUUUGUCUCACAAGUAAGAGAAAAUUUUCUUUUAAAUCUUCAUUUUUAUUAAUAAGGCUUUUUCUUUACCAAUGACACUGAGGGAAACUAUUCUGAGUGGUUUUAAAUUAUAGGAAAUUAACAUUCAUCUGAAACCCUUGAAGUUCUUCAAACGGUUUCAUUUGGAGGUUGUCUGAACAGAUGCACUCCUGGGAUGCUCAUGUACUAAAGUUUGUGGAUGCAUCUCAGCUGAUCAAUUUACAUAAUGAUGUUGGUGGAAUAUCACUGUGUGUGGGAACUGCUGAGUCCCGGCCUGCACCACUGAUGGAGCACCUGGGAAAGGACCCGGUCAGCCCUGGGAGCACAGCUGGAGGCAAUUCAGCUGUGGGACUGGAAGGGGUGCAGCCUGGGUGCACCUCUCAUAGAGCUCAUUUAAGGGCUGACUGCCCCUCGGGAAGGGUUUCUUCCUGGAGGUCCCUCCUUGGUGAGGCUUUCCCUGCAAACCUGCAAUCUUCUGACACGUAAGCCUUGGAAUGCUGCCUGUGCAGGGGAAGCACCUCGAUGAAUUGCCUGGGUGGUUUGAUGUGCUGCUCCCUAAUAGCACCAGUAAAAGGGGAAAGGUUUCAUGUGAUCCAGUUCUGUAGGACCCCAGUAGCACCAGGAGAGUGGGACGUGUGUCAUCCCUGCUGCAAUAAAAGAGCCAUUUGCUGAUGAG